GAUGAACGCUGGCGGCGUGCCUAAUACAUGCAAGUCGAACGGGGAGUAGCAAUACUCUUAGUGGCGAACGGGUGAGUAACGCGUUGGUACCUGCCCCGAAUCGGGGGAUAACGGACCGAAAGGUCCGCUAAUACCCCAUGUGCUCGGUAACGAGUAAAGGUGAAAACCACUUUGGGAGGGGCAUGCGUCCCAUCAGCUAGUUGGUAAGGUAACGGCUUACCAAGGCGAUGACGGGUAGGGGACCUGAGAGGGUGGCCCCCCACAAUGGAACUGAAACACGGUCCAUACACCUACGGGUGGCAGCAGUAGGGAAUAUUGGUAAUGGGCGCAAGCCUGAACCAGCAACGCCGCGUGUGCGAUGACGGCCUUCGGGUUGUAAAGCACUUUUGACUGGGACGAGGAAGGACGGUACCGGUCGAAUCAGCCUCGGCUAACUACGUG
This 441-nucleotide ribosomal RNA is filed under the name uncultured bacterium. RNAcentral describes it as "partial 16S ribosomal RNA". It matches the Rfam family "Bacterial small subunit ribosomal RNA", at positions 28 to 507 of the family's 1533-position model. The record is from RNAcentral.